UGGGGAAUUUUGGACAAUGGGCGCAAGCCUGAUCCAGCAAUGCCGCGUGCAGGAAGAAGGCCUUCGGGUUGUAAACUGCUUUUGUCAGGGAAGCGGUACCUGAAGAAUAAGCACCGGCUAACUACGUGCCAGCAGCCGCGGUAAUACGUAGGGUGCGAGCGUUAAUCGGAAUUACUGGGCGUAAAGCGUGCGCAGGCGGUUGUGCAAGACAGGUGUGAAAUCCCGGGCUUAACCUGGGAACUGCACUUGUGACUGCACGGCUAGAGUACGGUAGAGGGGGAUGGAAUUCCGCGUGUAGCAGUGAAAUGCGUAGAUAUGCGGAGGAACACCGAUGGCGAAGGCAAUCCCCUGGACCUGUACUGACGCUCAUGCACGAAAGCGUGGGGAGCAAACAGGAUUAGAUACCCCUGUAGU
This 414-nucleotide ribosomal RNA is filed under the name uncultured bacterium. Its description in RNAcentral is "bacterial SSU rRNA". It matches the Rfam family "Bacterial small subunit ribosomal RNA", at positions 355 to 794 of the family's 1533-position model. The record is from RNAcentral.